Long non-coding RNA from Talpa occidentalis (Iberian mole), 1243 nucleotides. RefSeq lists it as uncharacterized. The transcript is spliced from 3 exons. The record is from RefSeq and is a predicted model, not a curated record. Lineage: Eukaryota; Metazoa; Chordata; Mammalia; Eulipotyphla; Talpidae.
ACUGCAGAACCAUGAAGUCUGCUGGAGAGAGCAGAGCAUUUCAGAAGAGAGGGCUGACAACACAGACUAACGUCAUAAUAAACGUUGUCUCGCACUGCUACAGCAGCUGGUUGGAAGGCUGGCCACAAGGCAGGGGGAGGGAGACGGUUCAUCUGCAGUGGCAUCAGUGCAGCCUGGAUGACCAGGACAGACUUAGGGGGGUCAGAAGCACGUGCUUUUCUAAUUUUUUUCAGAGCAUUCUGGAAGCAGGGCUGAAUUCCACCACCGAUCUAUGCAACACGAGGCUAGCAGGCAGGAGAGGGGCACCCUUGCAACACAGGGGCCCCAGGGCCAGGCUGUGACCGAACCCGGACAUCCUUCCCUCACGGGCAAGGGGCUUUGUUAUUAAGCCUCAUCAAUUAAUGUAACAAAGUCCACUGUCCACAUCUCAUCUUUCUCUUGUGGGAAGAAAACUCCAAUUGACAGAAACUGUUGGAGGCAUAUGCCUGGCCUCUCUCUCUCUGUGUGAAGAACUGAGAUACAGACAUAAAGCACUUCCCAAUUACCAAAGCGUGGUAAAGAGAAGGCCUUUGCGUGACUGAAUUAGGAGCUGAAGUAGUUGCUUUCUGUACACAUCACCGUUUUUGCUUAAGAGAACAACUCAUAGAUAAUCUGUUUUCCAAACUUGCACAUUUGGCAGACAUUGUCUCCAAAGUGGACAAAGGAGCCUGUCACUUCAAGGAAAACAACUUACAACAUUUGUUUCCAAUGAUAAAAUUUGAGCUUUCACACAAAAAUUAGAAUUCUGGAAAACCUGUAUCUGCCACUGUGAGCUCAACAGCUUCCCAAUACUUAAAGACUCGUCUGAUGAGAGGGGUGUUCAUUUUCAUGCAUGAGUAUUGUUGAUGGUAAUAUAAUGUGUCAACAUUUAGAUGAUCCGCACAACUCAGUGAACCACUAUUUUUCAAAUACCUAAUAUAUCACAAACCACACAUGGAUAAAAGAUCCAUUCAAUGUGCAAUCUAGACAAUGGUUUAAACAUAUUAUAAUAAGGUUCACUGAGGGCCUCCCCUGGUGGUGCAGCUGCCCGCAGCCUCUGCAGCGCCGGUUUGAUCCCCGGCCACCGGCGAGGGUCCCACAUGGCGCGCAGACCUCUCCUGUCUCUCCCGCUGCUCCCCUCAGCAGUGUAUUUCCUCAGUCUGCCUGUUCUGUUCCCCGCUCUGGCUCUGGUGAAUUCUCUCACCCCCCUCCUGCGCUUCUGACU